UGCUUUUCUGAGAGGAGAGUCAAACUUCCAUCUCCAGCUCCCAAAGGAGCUUUCUCCAGGGUACUGCAAAGAGGCUUUUUCCCCUUCAGUUUAGCAGUAUCAGGUAAGGGACUCUGAUGGGAAAUCAGGCUUUCCUAUCUGAAUGGGAAAGGAGGCGUGGAAAACAAGUAUUUUACUCACUCUUCCCUGGGCUUUUGGAACACUCGCUGGGCCAGUGAUGUGCUUGAUGCAGUAAAGACUGCAAAAAACUACAAAACGUUCCCUGAUUUCAAAGAACUUCCAGCCUAACCAGGAGACAAAAAUGGCAGUGAGAGAGCAGUUAACGACACUCUAAGAACUGUGGGGGCGGGUACUAGGGCUGUUUGUUCACAGGUAGUAUAUCACAUUGUCUAGCACAUUGCAGCGCAAUGCUAGGAGCUCAAUAAAUGAUGGCUGGCUGGCUAGAUAGAUAGAUAGAUAGAUAGAUAGAUAGAUAGAUAGAUAGAUAAAAAGGAAAACAGCAUGAUUCUGUCACAGAGAUGAAAGUAGAAAAGAUUAGCGUGGGCUGACGUAGUUAGAGAAGUGACUUCAGGACUAUUACAAAUAGGCUAGAGUAGAUGAAGAGUAAAGAAGAUGAAUGGGAGAACAUUAACCCUUUGAAAGUAAGGGCCUUGUCAGAUUCCUCUUAUGACCUCCCGUGCCUAAUUGCUGCUCAAUAAUUUCUCCCUCCUUCUCCAUGGUGUAUGUUGCUUGCUGAAUGAAUUCACAGCAAUCUUUCAGGAAGCUCUGAGUUUGAGGCCUUCUGCAUUUGUGGAGGCCUGGCAUAAUUACAUAGAAUGUGAUUAGAAAGUGUCAGGGAGAGGUGCCUGGGUGGCUCAGUCAGUCAACUGACUCUUGAUUUCAGCUCAGAUCAUGAUCUCAAGGUUGGUGGGUUCAAGCCCAGCUUCCAGCUCCUCGCUGACAAUGCGGAGCCUGUGUGGGAGUCUUUUUCCCUCCCUCUCUCUGCCCCUCCCUGACUUGUACUCUCUGUCUCUCUCAAAAUAAACAAACUAAAAAAAAAAGUGUCAGGGAAAACGAGAUUCUUUCAGUCUGAGUGAGAAAGCUGGGGAGGCUUCAGAGAGAAGGUCACACUGGAGUUGAGACUUGAAGAAUGAGUAGGAUUUAAGCAGAGAAAUGUAUGCAUGGUGGGGAGCAGGAGGAAUGAAGAGGGAAGGGGGUCCCCAGAGAGGAAGAUGGGAAGUAUGGGGGCUAUUUGGAGAACGUGAAUAAUCCUGUGAGUAGAAACUGGAAGGAGGAUGUGGUGAGGCAGGCUGUGAAGGGGGUUGCAGGUGAUGCAUACAAGUUUGGAUUUGAUCCUGCUUUGCAAAGUCUUAUCUGCAGGCCACUAGUGCAAGACUACUUUAUAGUCAUGUUUAAAAGUCAGAGUCCUAGGCUCACCCCAACCUGCAGAAUCACUGUAGGUCCAGAAAAUUUGCUUUUUUAAUGAGCUCCAUUUCUACACUCCUGGAGGAGAAUGCCACUGUGGACAAUUGGGACCCACAUUGUAUUCCGCAGUACACAGGGAAGUGACUGGUUAUGAUCUGCGUUUUAGAAAGAGAGCUCUGAAGGCCUGCCCUGAGAAUAACUGUUCUGGCUGAAACAGAGACAUUGAAGCAAGUGAAAUGUUCCUAAUCUGUGGGAGGAGGGGAAUCUGUGGAUUAAAAAUAAAUUACCGAUUUACUAACCACUUAUUGAAAAGUAUGCGGUUGGUAACAAACCACAGCAGUAUUGGCAUGACAUGUGACUUUGUCACCAAAAGAAAUUACGGCUCUUUUCAUAUUGUAUUAUGGAUGUUACAGAUGUAUUACUUAUGCUCAUCCCUUCUUCAAAGUCAAGGUAGUAAUGAGAACUACUGCUAGAUCUUAUUAUUUAAUGUGUUAAUGAAGAAGCACAUGAGUUAUUAUAUCAUAAUUUUAAAAAUAGUUUGAUAACUGUCUCCCUUGUAAUCUCAUGUUUUUGUUUGAAGCAUAGGCAUCCCCAAGCUGCCAAAGGGGUUGAUGGCACAAAGUAGUUAGGAACUACUGGUAUGAGAGGACACGUGGAAGGCCUGAACCAGAGGAGGCCGUGGCAAGGAAGGCAUGGAAUUCAGGAGAAAUUUUAAAGGCAGAAGUGAUGGGAGAGCGUCUACUUAAAUAAGUAAAUAUCCAGACUUGGAAAGAGGUAGAAGUAAGCUGGAAGGACAGAACAAGAGUAGUAGACCAAUGGGAAACACUGUAGGAACAGUUAUGUCUGGAGGGUGGAAGUUGUGAACUUGUCAGAAGAUGGUGAUGAGCCUAGGAGAACCUUAAAGGUAAGUCAGGGUCUUGGUGGAGACUGACCAAGAAGCAGCAGUUCUUGGAGACAUUUACCAGCCUCCCAAGAUGUUAGUCUUGGAUCUCAUUCUAAAUCCCUUUAAAAGGGGGGGCAAGGGGAGGCAUAUGAUGAGCUUACAAAUAGUUUGGGAAGAGAAAAGAGGACGAUGACCACCCAGAUGAUAAGGUCAGCUAAUUGCUAAUUGAAGUACACCUGGGGAAGUAAUACUUUCUAAGGUGUGAGAAGGUGCCAGUGCUACAGGUCUUCUCAGAAUUAAAGAUCUCACAGCUGGGAGCAAGCCACACAUACAUACAGGUGACAAAAGAGAACGUGUAAACAGGUGUAUGUGUCUCAGCAGAACAGAAAGAAGAAAGGAAGCUUAAUAACUGUUCAAAUCGCUGCGUUAUAUCAUUUGUAAUUUGCCACUUAUCUCUUCAUCUGCAGUAGUUAUCUUCCUGAAUAGAAGCAUCAUAAAAAGAUACAGUCAUGAACAAGUCUUGAAAGUUAGUUGGAACCAUGUCCUAGACCGCUCCAAAUGCAAGGCUCCUCCGAGUCAGUAAAGCACCAUCACAGGUUUUCAGCUAUUACCCAGGGGACUUACCCAGUACUUGCUUGCCACUCCCUAAUGCCUUUGCUGUUAACCUGGAAGGUAGGAAAUGUGUCCUUGGGGCACUUGGCUGGCUGCCUCAGUCUCUAGAGCAUGCGACUCUUGAUCUUGGGGUUGUGAGUUCGAUCCCCAUGUUGGGUGUGGAGAUUACUUAAAAGUGAAAUCUUAAAAAAAAAAAAAGAAGGAAAAGAAGCAAAAUGAUAUUCUGGAAUGGGUGGAUUAAUUUACAAAGCAUAUAAGCAGUUUUAAUAUCAAAAAUAUUUAAAUGGAACGAUUAAAUAUUUAUAAGUAUUAUAGUUUACAAGUUCUGUUUUGAAAUUCUGUCAGCUAUAGUGGCUUUGAAACCAAAUGUGAUACAGGCUACUGGAGUAGGUGAAUCUUUUAUUUUAGGAAUAGAUGAAGGAUCUCUUCUGCAUCUCUCAACAAGAAUUAAAUGUGGUGAGCAUUUCAGAGUCACCUUAACAAAGUAAUAUCUGUAUUGAAAAAUUCUUAUGACCUUUUAGUAGUCAAUUUAAUGUGAAAAGCUGGAAAAUAUAAUACAGCAUAUUCACUCCAUGAAAUAUGCAAUUUUAUGAAAAAGUUCUUAGUAAGACCUGCUGUAAUUUUAAAGUAACAUCUUUUUUUGGGGGGGGGGGGCGCCUGCGUGGCUCAGUUGGUUAAACGCUGGCUUCAGCUCAGGUCAUGAUCUCAUGGUUUACGAGUUCAAGCCCUAAGUUGGGCUCUGUGCUGACAGCUCAGAGCCUGGAGCCUGCUUCAGAUUCUGUGUUUCCCUCUCUCUCUGCCUCUCCCCCGCUCCUGCUGUCUCUCUCACUCUCAAAAAUAAAUAAACAUUAAAAAAAUAAAGUAACAUCUUUUUUUAAUUUGCCAGAUAUUCUUUUAGUGAGAACUAGAAAAGACCACAUUUUUUGCAAACUGCCUCUUUUUAAACAAAUGAUUUGCUUUUGAUUACAAAUACUGUGUAAGAUAAUGCCUUCUUUUGCAAAACCAAUAAAUACAGGAAAAAAUUUUAAGCAUGUGAUUUGCCCAAGAUAUUUGGAAGGGAAAAAAAGCCCAAUUUUUUUUCCAGUAUGAAAAAAAAAAUCAGUAUACCCUAACCUUUCAAGGAAUAAGUUCAAAGAUAUGACUCGACUGGAGACAAAGAAAGAGAGAGAGAAGAGACAGAGACCAUCUUAUAACUGCUUUAAAUACCUUCUGAUAAUUAUUCUGAUGUUACCUUUCCUUUCUGGAAUUUGUAUCUUCAAAAAAGAGUUGAAUUUAAAAUAUUUCUAAUGAGGGGCGCCUGGGUGGCUCGGUCGGUUAGGCGUUCAACUUCAGCUCAGGUCAUGGUCUCACAGUCCAUGAGUUCGAGCCCCGCGUCGGGCUCUGUGCUGACCACUCAAAGCCUGGAGCCUGUUUCAGAUUCUGUGUCUCCCUCUCUCUCUGGCCCUCCCCUGUUCAUGCUCUGUCUCUCUCUGUCUCAAAAAAUAAGUAAACGUUAAAAAAAAUUAAAAAAAUUAAAUAAAUAUUUCUAAUGAACUGAUUAAUGGGGGAAAAGAAAAUGCAUACUGAACACAUAUGUAGAAACUUUACCAUAAGCAAUUAUGCAUAUCAAAGACACUAACUUUAAAAAGAUACAAAAAAGGUGAGAAAAACCUGAAUUACAGAAAUCAAAUAUAAUGAAAAACUAGAAUAAAAAUUAGCAAAUACACACACAAAAUAUAUACACAUACAGCAGCACUAUGUGUUGACUCACAAAGGGAAAAGCAGUGGUCCAAGAGCACUCAACAGGGCUUGUCAGAUAAAGAAACACACACAAGCUCAGGUGCCCACACACAAAACAAAAACCCGGUACAACAGUACACUCAAUCUAUAACACAAAUUCAGAAUUAUUUUACAGUGCUUCCUUUCUUAAUCCAAAGGCACCCAUCUUGAGUGUGUAUGUAUGUGUGUGUGUGUGUGUGUGUGUAUAUAUAUAUGUAUAUAUAUGUAUAUACACACACACACACACAUACUUUUUCAGUGGUUUACUGUAGACUUAUUUUUAAUUAGUGUUAUUACAUGCAACUGUUUCCUGUAUUUAACAGCCUUUUUAUUUACCUUCACGUGUCUAGCUUCCACCUAUCAAAAGUUUCAGGUGCCUUAUUCUCUGUGAAACUGAAUGCAGUGGUUUUAAACACUGGCCAGAACAUGUUUGGUUGCCACUUCAACACAUGGAAAUAGUUACAUUGAUGUCGAAGUUGCCAUUUUCUGCAGAAAGCUGUGCAAUGCUGGUGUCAAAAGACUAGGCAGUCGCUAUUCAUAAUGGCUGUUGCAAUUCCCUCAGGAAUAGAUCGCCGGGCCGCUUCCCAAGUCAAUCGCCGCCUAGGACCGUUUAGCUCAAGUCGAUAAGCAAAAAUUUCAGCAUACUUGCGUGUUCCUAUCAGCUAUACAAGUGCAAAGAACCGCUGGUGGCCGUUGGACUUUUCCUUUUUCUCCAGUACUAACAUGAAGUGAAAGCCAAAACAGGACUGCAUCAUCAUCCCGUCAACAGCACCAGUGUAGCAAGGAAAACUAUAUUCUUUCCCUGUAGGGCUGUAAUGGACUUUGCCGAUGCAUCACAUAGGGGCUUGACAGCAUCCAAAGAGCCUUGCCAUUUGCAGGAAGCACCAGGGCACGGACACAAACAAGGCCUAAACUCACGGAGCUCUUCAUGGUCUGCUUUCUGUGUGUGUGGCAGAGGUAUCACUCCUCCAGGAGAGGCAUAUUUACGGCGGGAAAGCACGGGAACUGGCCACUUCCUCCAGGGCCAAGUUGCGAGGGGAUCCCAACGGCCCCGGCAGGUUGGACAACAUGUGAGCUUUUGGGCAACAGUUGCUACAAACGAGAUGGCCACUCUGACAGUGAAGAAUGGGUGGUAGCGCGUAGCCACAGCAGACAGGACACUCAAAAAGACCCGCCCGGUCAUUCUUGGGUGCAGUUGUGCCAGUCAGGGCAGGCACCCUCUGGGACGCUGCACACUUGGAGGUUCCAGCAGGGAAUGCUGGUGCAGCCUGGCGGCUCAUUUCCGUGGGCGGAGAACCUCGGCCCGGUCCCGGCUCAAACGCGC
This 5981-nucleotide long non-coding RNA is filed under the name Lynx pardinus (Iberian lynx). The record is from RNAcentral. Lineage: Eukaryota; Metazoa; Chordata; Mammalia; Carnivora; Felidae.